Molecule: microRNA precursor, 118 nt
Filed under: Myotis davidii
Lineage: Eukaryota; Metazoa; Chordata; Mammalia; Chiroptera; Vespertilionidae
Description: mir-9193 microRNA precursor family
Rfam family: mir-9193 microRNA precursor family
Source: Rfam by way of RNAcentral
CGUGCACUGGUGGGGUCCCUUGGCCUGGCCUGCACCCUCUCACAAUCCGGGACCCCUCAGGGGAUGUUGGAGAGCCCUGAUACCUGCAGGCCAGGCCGAGGGACCCCACCAGUGUACG